Molecule: transfer RNA, 69 nt
Filed under: Ictidomys tridecemlineatus (thirteen-lined ground squirrel)
Lineage: Eukaryota; Metazoa; Chordata; Mammalia; Rodentia; Sciuridae
Description: Spermophilus tridecemlineatus (thirteen-lined ground squirrel) tRNA
Rfam family: tRNA
About the family: Transfer RNA (tRNA) molecules are approximately 80 nucleotides in length.
Source: Rfam by way of RNAcentral
GGGGAUGUAGCCUAGUGGUAGAGCACUUGCCUAACAUGCAUGAUGCCCUGGGUUCGAUCCCUAGUACCA